Molecule: ribosomal RNA, 368 nt
Filed under: uncultured eukaryote
Lineage: Eukaryota
Description: partial 18S ribosomal RNA
Rfam family: Eukaryotic small subunit ribosomal RNA
Source: RNAcentral
CAAUAGCGUAUAUUAAAGUUGUUGCAGUUAAAAAGCUCGUAGUUGAAUUUCUGUCAGGAGCGACCGGGCCUUUGGAUGAACUUCCAUUGUUUUUGCUCUGUUUGUCGUCUCUAGACAUCCUAAAUUACAUUUCUUGUAAUUUUCUUUUACUGUUAGCAAAAUAGAGUGUUCCAAGCAAAGCGUAGUUUUGAAUACAUUAGAAUGGAAUAAUAAGAUAGGACUUUGGUGCUAUUUUGUUGGUUUGCACACCAAGGUAAUGAUUAAUAGGGACAGUUGGGGGUAUUCGUAUUUAAUUGUCAGAGGUGAAAUUCUUGGAUUUAUGAAAGACGAACUACUGCGAAAGCAUUUACCAAGGAUGUUUUCAUUAA